AGCAAUAUUCGCAAUAUUCAUUUGUAAUAAUAUGUACAGUUAACAACUUACUAAGUUUCAGUUGUGUGUGUGUGUGUUUUCAUGCAUUUUUAGUUUAAAAUUUGAGAGACACCAGAGAGAAAGAUUUUUAGUAAAAAUUCUAGUUACAUAAAUUCUUCAAAAUUUAUUAACUACAGAUACAUUUUUUAUGUGCAUAAGCUUUAAAAAAGUACGACAUUUCCAGAGUGCUAUACAUAUCAAAGAUUUAUACAUUUUUGCAAACUACAUGGAAGUUUUUAACGGAAAAAAGAAUAUUCAAAAGAAAAAAAGGUGAAAAAUAAAGUUUAUAAUUCUUUAGGAAUUUUUAGGCAAUGCAAGUCAUGGGUCCCCUUUUUCCUUCCCUAACUUUCAGAAAUGGAAAAUUUUUAUAAUUUUUGUUUAAUCUCUGAGUAAUUUGACGUAGCAAAUUUUGACAUGCUGAAAUAAAAAAUAUUUUAAAUUGUGAGCCACUUUCUGAAGAGAUAAUUUCAAUAUCUUGCGCAUAAAAUAAUCAAAAUGUAAAUUCUGAAGUAAUUGUAGACCAAAUUGUUAAAAAAAACAUUUUUAAUUAAAUUUAUUCUAUAUUUAAUUAUUAAGUAAUAUAUUUAAAAAACAAUAUUACGUUUGCAAAAAGAGAUUGAUUGACAAUAUUGUUGGAAUAGCAUUCCAAACUUUAAAUGAUACUUGAUUUUAAUUUGAAUAAGCUAGAGUGCAUGUCCCUUGUAAUUUAAACUAAAGCACUAAAUUAAAUUACUUUGAAAAUAACGCAGAAGAGAUACAGAGGCCUCUAGGUAACUGUCUACUUAUUUAAUAAUACGACCUUGCAUACAGUUGCUUUAGAACAAAUAAAGACGUAGCAUGAAAUUUACUAUUAAGAUGUUUCAUGGAAUCAAAAUAUGCUGAAAAAUAGACGCUCUUUUACAAAUAAAAAUUUAUAUUCUAUUUUGUUUCAUAAUAAUUUUUAAUUCUAAAAUGCUUCUUAUAAAUUAGUUCAAACAGAUGGAGCAAAUUGUUAUUCUACUGGCUGAUUUGAAAGGGUUCCAGCAAACAUUAAGGAUUACGUUACAUAUGUAAAAUCAAAUAAUUUUUAUUCAGAUACGUAAUUAAUGACCAUGGGCCCAAAGAGGAGUACAGAUGCCUUGGCGACAGUUUUAGUGAGGGCCUUAGAAACUAAACACCCGUGCCUUUAUGCAAAAUCGUAUGCGGAAAGAGCAAAUAAUAUAUAUUUAAUGCUCACUACCUGCUUAGUUUGUGUAUGCCUGAGGUAGUCGGGGAGAAAAUCAAAUUCUUUUAUACAUGCUUCACUUAUAAAUGGUUGAAAAUUGUUUACAAAAAUAGAUAUGUUACAGUGAAAACCUGAAAUCAGUCAAAACGCGUUUUAACUGACAGCGCUAGUGAAAACCCGAAUUAACUAGUUAAAACGCGUUUCAAAUGACAGCGCUAAGGAGAACCCAUUUUCUCUAGUUAUUGCAGGUGUUGUCUAUUUAAAACCAUAUGAAUCUAGAUUUCUUGCUUGUGAUAUUUUCAAAGUAAGUGCUGUCUAGUUUUAUUCAUGCUGGAACGUGUUUGCGCUGUUUAUUUAUUUACGAUUUGUGAAGGAAAUGUUAAUGCUUUAUGCGCCAAAUGGAAAAAUUAAAUUUCUUGAACAGUUACAGUUUUUGCAUUAAAAAAACCCAACCAGAAUAACUUUAAAGCUAUUACGCAUGAUGAAUUCAACAUUCUCUUAUCUGAGGUUGAAGAGGCAAAAUCUGCCGUUAGCAAGAUUUCAUUCCAGUACCCCAGAUUAAAAAAUUUUGACAUUCAUGAAACCAGUGAAGUAAAAAAGUUGAUUUUUUCAAAUGAGCUCAUGAGAUAUUAUUUACCAGUUAAAGGAAUUUGUGAUGCUAUCGAAUUUGCACAUGUGGCCAAAGGACAUGGGGAUAGAAACAGACUUAAAAGUGAAGAUUCAAGAACAUUUGCCAACAUAACUACUGAGAAUACACAUUUUUUUUUAUCGAUGUAUGAAACAAGUCAAUAGAAAAAAUAAAUUUUUUUAAAAAAGGAAAGGUUUGGUUUCUAAACCUAUUAUUCACUCAGAAAUAACUACACGCUGCCAAGUGGAUUUGAUUGACAUGCAAUCUCAGGCAGAUAAGGAAUUUAGGCUUAUUAUGGUUUACAGGAAUAUUUAACAAAGUUUUUUUACUGCAACCACUUCAGAACAAAGGAACGGAAGAGGUUCCUUUGCAAGUACUUGAUAUCUUUUUGAUAUUAUGGUUUACAGGAAUAUUUAACAAAGUUUGUGUACUGCGACCACUUCAGAGCAAAGGAACGGAAGAGGUUGCUUUGCUAGUACUUGAUAUCUUUUUGAUAUUAGGGGCUCCUUGUAUACAGUAAUCUGAUAAUGGAAUAGAGUUUGUAAAUUCCGUUAUAGAAUAGUUAUGUACGUAAUGGCCAGAAUUGAAGAUUGUUUAUGGGAAACCUCGGCACAGCCAGUCGCAGGAUUCAGUUGAGAGGGCCAAUCAAGGCGUAGAAAAUAUGCUAGCUUCAUGGAUGAGGGAUGAUCCGACUACAAAGUGGUCUAAUGGUCUUCACUUUGUCCAAUUCACGAAAAACAGAGCUCUACAUAAUAGAAUUAAACAAUCGCCAUACAAAUCUAUGUUUGGUAUUGAACCAAGAGCUGGAGCUACCUCAACCUUCUAAUCAGAUAUUAUAAAAAAUAUCGAAUACAAGGAUGAACUACAGAAAAUUUUCGAGGAUAUGAAUGUAGAAAAACAAGAAACUGAAUAAGCACAAUAAGGGGAGCAUAUGCUUGCUAGUAAAUCGACCAAUAUUUUUCUAAUUAGAGAGAAAGCCAAAGAAACUUUAAUAAAGCAAGCCAAACGAAUGAAAAAGAUCUUCGAUGCAACACAUCCUGAGUUUGAUAUUGGAGGUAAUUCAGUUGUUCCCAUUCCAUAUGUUGAUAGAAUAAAAACUGAUUUGCGAAAUAUCAUCGGUGUAGUGCUUGAAAAAAAAUUAAGAUGGUCUUCAAAAUUGGAAUGAAAGAUGGAGUUCUGAGCAAAUUGUAUUCGAGAUCUCAAUUCGAUGUAUCGCCGCAAAUUUUCUUAACUCAAGAACGAGUACUGAAUCAGGACAUUUCACUGAGAAUAUCAGCAAGAAAGGAACUGUAGGAAUUGGACAAGGGUUCGCCCGCUGUUCUUGUAAAAAAGACUAUUCUUCGAAGGAACGUUUCUGUAUGAAAAAUGGUUCUCUUUGCAAUUCUAAGUGUCACAAUAGUUUGCCAUGUCGAAAUAAGUCAUUUAUAAUAAUGGAACUGUAUUAAAUAAUAUCUAAGUAAAGUAUUUUUUCUUCAA
Long non-coding RNA from Argiope bruennichi, 3347 nucleotides. RefSeq lists it as uncharacterized. The transcript is spliced from 2 exons. NCBI's taxonomy places the organism in Eukaryota, Metazoa, Arthropoda, Arachnida, Araneae, Araneidae. The record is from RefSeq and is a predicted model, not a curated record.